This 3366-nucleotide long non-coding RNA is filed under the name Actinidia chinensis (golden kiwifruit). Its description in RNAcentral is "long non-coding RNA (ACHI_LNC000895)". The record is from RNAcentral. Lineage: Eukaryota; Viridiplantae; Streptophyta; Magnoliopsida; Ericales; Actinidiaceae.
CAAUUGCCGAGAAAUGUGAGCCAUUGCCCAGAAAUUUUAGCCAUGGCUGGCCAUUGCCGAGAAAUGAUGUGCCAUUGCCUGGAAAUGUGAGCCCUUGCUGGGCAAUUGCCCAGAAAUUUGAGCCAUGGCUGCCCAUUGCCGAGAAAUUUUGUGCCAUUGCCGAGAAAAUUGGGCCAUGGUUGCCCAUUGCCGAGGAAAUGAGUGCCAUUGCCGAGAAAUGUGAACCAUGGCUGGGCAAUUUCCGAGAAAAUUGGGCCAUGGCUGGGCAUUUGUGUGCCACGGCUGAUCAUUGCCUAGAAAAUUUGAGCCAUGGCUGGCCAUUGCCGAGAAAUGUUGUGCCAUUGCCGAGAAAAUUGGGCCAUGGCUGCCCAUUGCCGAGAAAUUUGAGCCAUGGCCGGGCAAAUGUGUGCCAUUGCUGCCCAUUGCCGAGAAAUUGUGAGCCAUUGCUGCCCAUGGCCGAGAAAAUUUGUGCCAUUGCCGAGAAAAUUGGGCCAUGGCUGCCCAUUGCCGAGGAGGGGAUGGAAAAUUGAGUGCAUUGCGAGAAGAAAUGUGAACCAUGGGCUGGGCCCAUUGCCGAGAAAAAUUGGGCCAUGGCUGGGCAUUGGUGUGCCAAGGCCAGAUCAUUGCUCAGAAAUUGAAGCAUGGCUGGCCAGCCGAGAAUGUGUUGCCAUUGCCGAGAAGAAAGAAAUUUGGGCCAUUGCCGGGCAAAGUGUGCCAUUGUGCCCAUUGCCGGAAAAUUGGUGCCAUUGCCGAGAAUUGGGCCCAUGGCUGCCCAUUGCCGGAAGAAGAGAAAUCGAGCCAUUGCUCCCAUUGCCGAGGAAAAUGGAGGCCAUUGCCGAGAAAAUGUGGAACCAGGUGGGCAAUUGCCGAGAAAAUUGGGCCAUGGUUGGGCAUUUGUGUGCCAUGCUGAUCAUUGCCCAGAAAUUUGAGCCAUGGCUGGCCAUUGCGAGAAAUGUGUGCCAUGCCGAGAAAAAUUGGUCCAUGCUGCCCCAUUGCGAGAAAUCUGAGCCAUUGCGCCCCAGCCCAUUGCUGAGCGGGAAAUGAGUGCCAAUGCCGAGAAAUGUGAACCCAGGCUGGGCAAUGCCGAGGAAAAUGGGCAAUGGCGGGCAUUUUGUGUGCCAUUUGCUGAUCAUUGCCCAGAAUUGAGCCAUGGCUGGCCAUUGCCGAGAAAUGUUGUGCCAUUGCCGAGGAAAAUUGGGCCAUGGCUGCCCAUGCCGAUCAAUCUGCGCCAAUUGGCCGGGCAAAUUGUGCCAUUGCUGCCCGAUUGCCGAGAAAUUGUGGAGCCAUGCUGCCAUUGACGAGGAAAUUUGUGCCAUUGCGAAGAAAAUUGGGCCAUGGCUGCCAUUGCCAGAAAUCUGAGCCAAUGGCUGCCCAUUGCCGAAGGAAAGUGAGUGCCCUUUCCCGAGAAAUGUGAACCAUGGCUGGGCAAUGCCGAGAAUUGGGCCAUGGCUGGGCAUUGUGUGCAAGACAGAUCAUUGCCCAGAAAAGGACAAAAUUUGAGCCAUGGCUGGCCAUUGCCGAGAAAAUGUUGGCCAUUGCCGAGAAGAAAAUUGGGCAAUGGCUGCCCAUUGCCGGGGAAGAAGAAAUAUGAGCCAGCCGGGCAAAUGUGUGCCUUGCUGCCCAAUUGCCUAGAAAUUGUGAGCCAUUGACUGCCCAUUGCCGAAGAAAAGAGAAAGAAAAUUUUGUCCAUUGACGGAGAAGUGGGACCAUGGCACUUGCCCAUUGCCGAGAAAUCUGAGCCAUGGCCGGGCAAAUGCGUGCCAUGGCUGCCCAUUGCCGAGGAAAUGAGUGCCAUUGCCGAGAAAUGUGAGCCAUGGCUGGGCAAUUGCCGAGAAAAUUGGGCCAUGGCUGGGCAAAUGUGUGCCACGGCUGAUCAUUGCCCAGACAAUGUGAGCCAUUGGCCGGACGAAUUGGGCAUGGCAGACCAUUGCCCCGAAAAAUGAGUGCCCCCAUGGGCCGAGCAUGUGUUCCAAGGCUGCCCAUUGCCGAGAAAUAUGAGCCAUGGCCGGGCAAAUGUGUGCCAUGUCUGCCCAGCCCAGAAAGAAAAAUUGGUGAGCCAUGGCUGGCCCCAUUGACGGAGAGAAUCUGAGCCAUGGCCGGGCGGCCAAUUGUGAGCCUAUGGCUGGCCAGUGCCGAGAAAUGUGAGCCACGGCUGGACAAUUGCCGAGAAAAUUGGGCCAUGCCCAUAAAUUUGAGUCAUGGCUGGCCAUUGCCGAGAAAUGUUGUUCCAUUGCCGAGAAAAUUGGGCCAUGGCUGCCCAUUGCCGCCAAAAAUCUGAGCCAGGCCGGAAAAUGCGGCCAUGGCUGCCCAUUGCGAUGAAAAGUGAGCCAUUGAAUGCCCAUGCCGAGGGAACAUUGGGCCAUGGCUGCCCAUUGCCUGAGAAUAUCUGAAGCCAUGGCCGGCAAAUGCGUUGCCAGGCUGCCCAUUGCGAGAAAAGAGAAAUUGUGAGCCAUUGCUGCCAUUGCGAGAAAAUUGGGCCAUGGCUGCCCAUGCCGAGAAAUUGAGCCAUGGCUGCGGCAAAUGUGUGCCAAGGCCGCCCAUUGCCGAGAAAUUGUGAGCCAUUGCCCAGAAAUUUGAGCCAUGGCUGCCCAUUGCCGAGAAAUUUUGUGCCAUUGCCUAGAAAAUUGGGCCAUGGCUGCCCAUUGCCGAGAAAUCUGAGCCAUGGCCGGGCAAAUGGGAGCCAUUGCUCAGAAAUUUUAGCCAUGGCUGCCCAUUGCCAAGAAAUGUUGUGCCAUUGCCUAGAAAAUUGGGCCAUGGCUUCCCAUUGCCGAGAAAUUUAAGGCAUGGCCGGGCAAAUGCGUGGCAUGGCUGCCACAUUCCGAGGGAAAUGAGUGCCAUGCCGGAGAAAUGUGAAACCAGGGUGGGCAAUUGAGAGGAAAAUUGGGCCAUGGUGGGCAUUUGUGUGCCUAGGCUGACAUUGCCUCUAGAAAAAUGGAGAGCCAUUGCCCAGAACAGGAAAUGAGGCCAUGGCUGCCCAUUGCCGAGAAAUCUGAGCCAUGGCCGGGCAAAUGCGUGCCAUGGCUGCCCAUUGCCUAGAAAAUGGAGCCAUUGCCCAGAAAUUUUAGCCAUGGCUGCCCAUUGCCAAGAAAUGUUGUGCCAUUGCCUAGAAAAUUGGGCCAUGGCUUCCCAUUGCCGAGAAAUUUAAGGCAUGGCCGUGCAAAUGCGUGGCAUGGCUGGCCAUUGCCGAGGAAAUGAGUGCCAUUGCCGAGAAAUGUGAACCAUGGCUGGGCAAUUGCCGAGAAAAUUGGGCCAUGGCUGGGCAUUUGUGUGCCUAGGCUGAUCAUUGCCUAGAAAUUGUGAGCCAUUGCCCAGAAAUUUGAGCCAUGGCUGCCCAUUGCCGAGAAAUCUGAGCCAUGGCCGGGCAAA